CUGGGCAUGCCCCAAUCGUCAGGCUGGGUACGCUGAAGUGCAUUUUCUAAUUAAACCACAGGUCAGGCAUCUAUAUAUGAUGCUUUUUAUGCAUUCUUGCAUAUGUACUUCGGUAGAACUUGGCAGCAUAUAACAACUUUCAUAGGUAAAAAUAUUAAACUGAAAACAAGUAUCCACUCAGUACAUGGAAUUCGAUGUCAUAAAAAGGACUGCUCGGUUCAAAUGGCAUAACAGUUUAAUCUAAGUUUACAUCAAGCAAAAUAACAAUAAUUCUAAGUUUGUAUCUCAGAAAUUACAUCUUCUUCCUCCUUGGGGUAAUUUUUUUCUUGCAUGCCGUAGAGCUUGAAGGGAUGUGAGAAGUAGGCGAUGGUGCAGAAACAUUCGUUGUUCCAGAUGGUUGUGAUGCAUUGCCUUCGGCUAUGGCCAUAGCAAGUCUCCUGUAUAUUUACACAUACGUUACAAAAGCCGGAUUUCUUUUGCAUGAAUCAAAUGUGCAUAUGGAAAAUAUAAACAGUUACCUCCUUGAAAUAGGCCCAGGGCUGUUAUGAAGGCUGGGAGGCACUGUGAUUGUUGUUGUGCGUGUGGGUGUCGCAACAACAGCUGGAGCGAGCUCG
RNAcentral lists this long non-coding RNA (614 nucleotides) under Triticum aestivum (bread wheat). Its description in RNAcentral is "long non-coding RNA (TAES_LNC020572)". The record is from RNAcentral. Lineage: Eukaryota; Viridiplantae; Streptophyta; Magnoliopsida; Poales; Poaceae.